Non-coding RNA from Xyrichtys novacula (pearly razorfish), 8056 nucleotides. NCBI's taxonomy places the organism in Eukaryota, Metazoa, Chordata, Actinopteri, Labriformes, Labridae. The record is from the annotation of a GenBank genome assembly.
UUGAGCUAUGUGCUCACACGGUCUCUCACAGGGUGAUGAAGCCAGGUCAAAUAAAAAAGUUUCUGCUAAAGUUUAGGAUAAUGUUGUGAUGAUUUGUUUUCCAGCCAGGCCUCACUGUGAGCUUUUGAGAGUCCAAUUAAAACAUAUUACAAUCCAGGAUUUUGCAAAGCUGUCAAGUCUCAGCUCUUUGUUUGGCAUCUGAUCUCCAUUUCCACAUGCAAAUCACUCACACGCACAGAUUAAUAAGUCACAACGGCUACUCUGGAUGCAUCCAGCUCCCUUUGUGUCAGCACUUUGCUUACUAAGCAGCCCUUGGUCUUUAGGAAUUAAUGAAAACUAAUGAAGUGUCUGAAAGUGUCGCCUGGUUUUUAUUUCAAGCGCCGGAAGCCCAAAAUCCUACAGUAUUACCAUCAUGUUAAGUGUUUUAAUGGCACUUAGAUUAAAGGACAGAUCACACAGGCUGAACUUUAAACACAGUCCCUAUCAAGGGGAGACGGCUACUUCACAUUUAAUCUGAUUUUCAGUCCUGAUCAAACAUUCUCUAGUGUCUACAUUUUGUCGAAGUUUUAGACCUAGUUUGGAGAAAUUAAAAGCUGGGGUAGGCAGGAUUCCAUUAAAGAAGCAUCUUUUUUGUGGUAUAUAGACAAAAAAGCCAUAGUCAUAGCUAUUAGUUAUUGAUGACAUUUGGUAAUAUAAUGAUAUCGCUGUGUUUUGUUAUGUCUGUGUAGUCAACAUUUAAAAAUUUUGAGAGGCCCGCCCUUUCUGACUGUAAACAAAGCCACUCUCCACCUCCCCCAACCUUACUGGUUGUGAGGCAGACGCUGCUCCCCCGUGUCGUUCACGAGCCCAAACAAAGUUAACGCGCGACAAUACCGGACAGUAGAAACCAACCAGAAAGUAUGAAAAAUUUUCUGAAUCCUCCUUUGGCCACGACUGUCAACACAAGCAAGAAAACAAAGUAAAUACCGGAGACCCUGGCGGCAUAACAGGCGCUUAAAAUGGAGGUAGACCACCUAGACAAGAGCUAAAAAGCCGGGUCAACAUCAGCAUAAACGAUGGGGGACACUUUGGGGUCAUACGGACCCUGUAACCUUUCUGCUGGACAGGUAAACCGCUUUAACAAAGUAAGACAAGUGUCUGUAACAGAAGUGUUUCUUGCCAAACGGACCUGCUGUAGCGUGUUGUAGCGCCGCUAAACUGUUUACCUCGGGUCCUGGGCUAUGUCACUUUAUCCUAGUUGUAGAAGUCCUGUAAUGUUGAUUGCUCACUGAGUAUUGAUAAUAAAUUGCUAAUAGUCAAUGUUUCAAUCCUAUAACUUUUUAAAACUGAUUUUAUGUCAAUUUUAGUGUCUCGGUUCAGGACUGAAAUAAGGUCACAGCUUGAACACUUUGUGCAUACUACUUGACUUUGAUGCCGUUCAACCUCGUUGGUUUCACGACCUCCCAGAAUGUCAGCAGAUGGAAGCAGGAAGACACUGCGGCAGCUUGACUACGAUGAGCUGAAUGGGACAAAAUAGCUAUAACACAUUAUUUCCAGACCUUGAUUACACACUGAUUAAGGCUGGUUUUAGGCCAAGCUCCUAGCUUUCGCGUCAUAUUAACCUGAUGUACUUAAAAGCUAUAUCAAUCUCCUCGCCACAACCAGAAGACAGAUUGUCCUGGUUUAAAAGCUCCCUGACAGAGGAGCAUCGGGACUUCUCUUAACAUACUGUACCAUGAUUUGUGUUGAUAAAUAGACUGAACUGUUGCCAACGCCUCCAUUUGACCAUAUCAGUAUUCCCGCCGCGGUCACUUCUCCUUCAGCCUCUGAGUGUAGAAACAACAUUGGGACCGGCAUGUGAAUGAAAUAUCCACCUUUUCACAUGCGACAGUACCAUCGGCACGAAUCCUUUUGUCUUCCGGCUUGUUUAAACAUAAUGCGACUUUGUCUGCUGCCACGGCUCAAAUAUGAAGCGGGCGCUCCUCUGACGUUGAGUGAUUGUCCCGUCUUCAUAUCUGUCAGGCAGCACAGCCGUAGAUUCAUCACAACUCUCGGGGCUUUGUUCCGCUGGAGCUUGGCACGCUCUCUGCCUUUGGAUUGGAGUGUCUGUGUUUGUUCCAGAUCGAAAAUUAGAGAUCAGACUGAGGCAUUUCUGCACCUGUAUCCCCUUCACAUCUCAUCUCAUCUCUCCGGCUUUCUCUCUCUUUGCCUCCCAGACGCACUUACUAGGUUUCAUUUGCAUGCGCCAAGUUAAAACUGCGCCGGGGUGCAUUUUUCAUGUAUGUAAAAAUGCACCUGUGUCAGGAUUUGGAAGUACCAGCUCAGUCGUCUGCAUGUCAGUGUUUGUGAGUCUCAUUAGUUCUGUGAAUAACUCAUUAUCUGGCCCCCUGAGUCUCCAGUUUUAACACGAACCUUAUCCAAAGUUCGUGUCUUUGAGCAGGAUGCCUCACCUUCACCUGCCGCCUUAAACCAUCACGAUGUGUUUGAGCAGCAGCUGGCAGGUGUGAACGAGUCAGACUGUGUGAAUGUGAAGAUGAGCAUCACGAACACUGACUCAGCUCAGCUCAAAAGGCACUGUUUGGUCUUAUGUGUGCUCACCUUGGUGUGAAACGAGCGUGGAGUAUGUUUGGUUUUUUUAACUCAUUCAUCAAGAUACAACAAGGACUAAUGCUGCGUUUCAGGACCUUAAGAGUUUUACUUGCAUUUGCAUAAUUAGGAGUGUGGCUAAGUUGAUUGAUAUGGCUCAAGGAUGUCCAGUUGAUAAUCCCUUUUAGACAUUUUAGUAUUUUGUUCAUUUUUGUUAAUAAAAGCCUCGACCUAAAUGUCUCAAUUGACAGAAGCCAAUUGAGUAAACUUGAAGUGAAUGCUGAGUUUGGUUUAAAAGAGACAUAAGCUGUCCUUUGACUCCAUAAGAGGACCCUGGAGGGAUCCCCUCCUAGAGAAAUGAUGAAGCUUCAGUUUGCCUUGCCCUCUGAAAAACAUAACACGGAGUGGCUCUUGAAUUCAAGUGUUCUUUGGGACUUUAAAUGCAUUUUAAACGCUUUUCACGUCGUUGAAUUAAUGACCGUUCCUCAAGAGUCCAGGCACAUCCCCACAUGUGGAGGAAGGGGAGGCGGGGAGUGUGACUGCUGCCAUCUGCGGUGUUUCGGUCUCAUAUUUUCUGCUCUCCAGAGGCAGCAGUCAAUUAUUCUGCUCCUGGUUUUUGAAGCAAACCGACUGUCACCACAGGUGGUGACAUCGACCUCUGACCCCUUAAGGGGGGAGAAGCCAGGGCGAGGCUGUCAAACAGGAGGAGACCUUGUGGACUACGGUACAUAAAGAAAGCAGAAGGGAGGCUAAGAUAGGACCGGCACCAAAUUAGGAGGGCUUUAAUGUUGGUGUUUGUUAGAUUUUUCAAUUUGUCCCACUAUUUCACUCAUAUUUAAGAAUCACUCUGGGCCUGCUCCACCGGCAGCAGAUAAGAAGCUUAAACUGUGAACACAAAGUUUUUACACAUAAAUGGGAUUAAUUUCAUCAAUGUGAGCAGACAAAGGAAAUCUGAGCUCUUUAUGUCCUCUGAAACUCACCAACGGGUAACACUCACUUUGUCUACCCCCAUUUUUUCCUAUUAGCCACUUGUACGUCCCUGAUGAGACACACUUUUGCCGUUUUCUUUCAUGUGGUCUUGGACUAUGGCGAAGUACUCAGUGUGGGUGGCGCUUAGUCUAGAGUUUGGGCUAGGUCCUGAACCCCAUUUAGGAAAAGGGUUAGGGUUUGGUCUAGGACAAGGUUAAGGACUAAGAUCAGGAUAGAGCCAGGGCCUGUGUGUGGCAUCUGUUUGGAAAAGGUCUAGACAUAAGGUUGGGUUUGGUCCUUUACACGGGUUAAAACAGGACUAGGGUUCAAAUUGAUCAAGGACAAUGGACUGAUAUAUGUUUGGAGUGAGUACUCGGCCUAGGACAAGGGCUAGAAUAAGACUAGGGUAGGGUUUAGUCUAGGACCAUAAUUAGUUUCAGGCCUUGUCUAGGAUUACAAUAAGGAAUGGGGUUGGGAUUUCGGUUUUUGACAAAGGCAAGGUGUUUUGAGUGCGGCCAGGUCAAGUUCAGGAAAAAGGUCAGGGUUGAGGUUUGGUCUCAAUGGCAAGAAUUAGACUGGGGCUGGACUUGGUCUGGAACUACAGUUAAGACUUACUUAGGGUUGGUUUUAGUUCAGGUCUAAACAAAGGAAUAUGGUUGUGAUUCAGGUGGUCUAGGACUAUCUUUAUGAAUAAAAAUGGGGCGUGUGUAUGGUAAUGGGUAAAGCAAUUUGGUUGGGAUUUGAGAUCAUCUGGGACAAGGUCAAGAAUUCACCUUGGGCUUGGUCUAGGACUAAGAUUAGGAUUAGGGUUGGUGUUUGGGUUUGGUCAAGAGCCAUAACAAAGAAUAAUACCAGGGUUGAACUCGAUCUCGGACUAUGGUUGGGUUUUUGGUUAGGUGAUGGGGUAUGGUAACUAUUUAAGGUGUUGUUGUAGGGGGUCUGUCAGGGUUAACGUUUACACAUAGGCCGGUUUUAGAUGGUUAUGGUCCAGGUCAAGUUAGGACUUGGUUUUGAUAUAAUAGGAAGUCUAAAACCCUCAAAUUUAGACCUGUAAAGCCAGUAAGAUAAGUUUCUAAGAGCUUCUUAACAGUGCCCUGCGGGACCAGACUGUAUGGCUAGAUUUCUUUUCUCCGGUCUUACAGCUGAUUUAAAUCUGUUUUUUUCUGGAAUGUAAAAGCAAGAAUGAAUCAUUCCUAAUUGGCUGUGAAGCAGCAGCGGGUACUUCAAUUAAUAAUUAACUUUAAAUGUCUGUGUCUUCGCAAAAACAACACUAUCAAUAUUUUCUGUCCAAUAACAGUGAUAUUAAAAUACUAUACCACAGAGAAUAGUAGGAAUGAACAUUAUAUUUCAAAGUGUAUCCAAAAAGCAGAUACUUCGUCUUGAAAAACACGGGCCUCGUGUGGGUUCUCGGAAUUAAUACUUAAUGUCAAUCAAUAAUUAAUACCCUCAUUGGCUCAGUGUGAUAGUUGUGGAUACAGCCGUAAUUUUACAGAACCACAGAGUGCUCUUUGGCCUCAUGACUCAUUGAAAAAGUUCAACUUUGAGAAAGUUGUACUUAUAAAUAUUAGUAUUUGGAAUAUUUUGGGAGUACAAAUAAGAGACCGUCGGUUCGAUGUGUUAAAAAAUUGAGUUUGAAGACUUGGUUUUGUGGUCUAUGGUGCCCAUAAAUAACUCCCUUUAAAUGCAUAACGAGUGAAGAAAGGUCACUGUAUUUGUAGGUAAAUGAGAAUCGCUCCGAGGGAUUCAGUUUUUUUUGUCAAAUGUAUUGAUCGUGGCUGGUUUCUGUCUGGACCUGUGUUUGUCUAUAACCCAGAAAUAGUAGAAUAGAUGAGAACACAUGAUGGUGGAUGAAUGGUGUUUGUGUUGAGCCUGUGUAUCUUGGAGCGUCCAAAAUGAGAAUGAAUGAUGGCAGCAGAAUGAUUGGACAUCGCUGGUGUUUUGUUUUCAUUUGCUCUAAUCAAUUUCAGGGCCAAGUUUCCACUCGCACACACACACAUACACUCACAUACACACACACACUUGUUUACCAAUGGAAAUGUCACAUUAAUUUUGCCAACCAUUAGUUAUAAGACGUCUCACCGAGAAACGAUGAAACAUUUGAACUACUGUGAAUGAACGGAUGACAGUUUUAACAGGCAAAUAAAUAAGACAAGUUAGAGAGAAUCAAUUUUGGCAUUUUGAUAGAUCUGCUGAAAACAUUUCCUGGAUAUUGUUGCUGAAUGAGGCCGACAGCAAAGUUCACAAGGCACUGAAACUGAAAUUAAAGAGAAAUUUUAUUGCAGGGAGGAGAACAAAUGGCAUUUGAGUCCACAUUUCCUGUAUGGAAUAGUACGGCACUAUAACUUAGUGAUGUGCAUGUAGUAUUAGAACUUAGUGUUAUGCUUAGAGACGCUGCACCUGGAUAAACUAACUGACACGCUCAAAAAGUUGCCUCUUGUGAAUAAAAGCCAGAAUCAAAUAGUCCUGCAUCAUUUUUUAAAUUCUUCCUAAAUACAAGUGAUUACUGUAAAAGUUACAGUCUGGAAGAACAAUGUAGUGUGAAAAUAGUGUUCUCUGUUAUAUCAUAUCAAUAAUGUCUCAUAUAUCAUAUCAAACAUAUUACAAUUUUGUGGUCUUAAGGUAAAAAAACAGAGACACUGACAACAACAUUUUGUCAUGAUAUCAUAUCAGACAAAAUCAUUUCAUAUCAAAUUCCGUCAGUCAUGUAAUGUCACAUAAAAUUUAACAAAAUCAUUUUCUAUCAUAAUUUAUCAUCUGAUAUCAUGUCAUAGCACACAUCAUAUCAAUCUCAAAUCGUUCUAAACAUCAUAUUAUGAUAUAUCAUAUCAUAUAAUUACAUAUAUUAUUAUAUAUGUUAUAUUAUCAUACCUUAUUAAAUCAUAUAAUAUACUAAAUUUUAUCAUAUAAUAUAUCAUAGCAUAUCACAUAUUACAUUAUAUUAUAUUACAUUAUAUUAUUUUAUAUUAUAUUAUAUCAUUUAUCAUAUAUAUCAUACCAUAUCAUAUCAUAUAUUAUAUAAAAGCUUAUACCAUAAUUUCAUAUCAUAUUAUAUACUAUAUCAACGUAUAUCAUAUUAUUUAAUAUUCCAUAUCAUAUAUGAUAUUAUAUUUUGAUAUAUUAUAUUAUAACUUAUCAUAGCAUAUCAUUUCAUAUCAUUACAUAUUACAUCAUAUUGUAUCAUAUUAUAUCAUAUUGUGUAUUAUAUCAAAUCGAUCAAAUCAUAUACCAUAUGAUACCACAACAGUGCAUUAAUUUUGUAAAACUUUAUGCUCUGAUAUCUGAACUUGCGAGUACUUCACACUUUGGGUCACAAUAUAUUGUAUGGUACUGUUUUACAGCACAGCAUAGGUUAGGGUAUCCUAAUGUAUAGUUUAGUAUCAAACUGUAUUUUAGAGGAUCAUAUUUGAUUGUAGAGUAUCUUAUUUCAUCUUAGAGUAUAAACUAGUAUAAUUGAGUUUUGUAUUUAUUCUAUAUUUUAUUGUAUUGUAUUGCAGCUUAUUCUAUUAUAUUCAAUCCUAUUGCGCAUAAAACCAGUAAAACCUUUACUUGACAGUCACCCUGUUAUGUAAUAAAAGUAUAAAGUACUACACAUUCUAUGAUGGCCAUAUAUUGACCUGAAUUUAAAAAAAAAAUCCAACUACAUGAAUAAAAUACUGAAAACAGAUUGUGUGCUUUGGGAAAAUGGCAGGUAGUGAUGCACAUAACUCUUCGGUAAUGGGUUAGGACACGUAAAAAGCAGCCGUAUGAGAGCAUCCAGUCCAUUAACCUUCAGUGGUUUUAGACGCCAACAGGAAAAGGAGCCGCUGACACACUCUGAGGGAAAAGCAGUGAGGGGUAGAGGUGGUUAUGGAGUAAAUUAACCUGACACACACUGUUGUCAGCUCUCGUAUUAAGAAUAAAAGCCUCAGUGUGGCACACAGGCGCUGUUAGGAUCAGAUGUCACAACUUUAUUAAGUCAGAGCCAGCUGGAAAUGAAAAUGUUUGACCUAAAAAAUUGAAUUGUCCUCUUUGAGAAGGGGACAAAACUAGAUCUGUGGUAGCACACUGAACCGCCGGAUAAUUUCCCAAUAAAGACGGCGAUGAAUCCUGUUCUUUUCAAUCAAACAUCCUCACCUUGGUAUCGCAUGAGCUCUGUGGGAAAAUGAGAAAAUAAAGGUAUCCUGUAGAGAAGAAAAUAACAUCCAGAGAGCGCUGUCAGCCGGCUGUCUCAUCAUAACUCACGACUGAAUUACACUUACUCUCACAUCAUUGGGUGACAGCUGGAGAUCCGAUUGAGAUACACCUGAGAGAGGGUUCGAAAAGUUAUCCGAGAACCUGCAGAGUGACAUUCACAAAGACACGAGAACUUAUCUGAGGAAAUCUGAGAUUAGAUAUGGACUGUUGUAUCUGCAACACGUGUCCAAAUGAUCAUGCAACUGAAGGUGUUGAGAGGAGAGCAAGGAUGGGAGCAAGAGGAGGAGAUGUGUGUGUGUCUGAAAAGCCAAAGGACAGCAUAAGUAUGACAAGAGAGAGGCUUUUAAGA